GUGCCGUCGGAGCGUCGCAUGGCGCGCUGACGAAAGGGUUAACGUGGAUCAGGAGGGUCGUCGCGGCCUAUCAGCUUGUUGGUGGGGUAACGGCCUACCAAGGCAUCGACGGGUAGCUGGUCUGAGAGGAUGAUCAGCCACACUGGGACUGAGACACGGCCCAGACUCCUACGGGAGGCAGCAGUGGGGAAUCUUGCGCAAUGGGCGAAAGCCUGACGCAGCAACGCCGCGUGCGGGAAGAAGGCCUUCGGGUUGUAAACCGCUUUCAGAAGGAACGAAACUGACGGUACUUUCAGAAGAAGGUGCGGCCAACUACGUGCCAGCAGCCGCGGUGACACGUAGGCACCAAGCGUUGUCCGGAUUUUAUUGGGCGUAAAGAGCUCGUAGGCGGUUCGGUAAGUCGGGUGUGA
This 410-nucleotide ribosomal RNA is filed under the name uncultured bacterium. RNAcentral's name for it is "bacterial SSU rRNA". It matches the Rfam family "Bacterial small subunit ribosomal RNA", at positions 172 to 597 of the family's 1533-position model. The record is from RNAcentral.